Molecule: ribosomal RNA, 468 nt
Filed under: uncultured bacterium
Lineage: Bacteria
Description: partial 16S ribosomal RNA
Rfam family: Bacterial small subunit ribosomal RNA
Source: RNAcentral
GACGAACGCUGGCGGCGUGCUUAACACAUGCAAGUCGAACGGAAAGGCCCUGCUUGUGUGGGGUGCUCGAGUGGCGAACGGGUGAGUAACACGUGAGUAACCUGCCCUUGACUUUGGGAUAACUUCAGGAAACUGGGGCUAAUACCGGAUAGGAGCUCCUGCUGCAUGGUGGGGGUUGGAAAGUUUCGGCGGUUGGGGAUGGACUCGCGGCUUAUCAGCUUGUUGGUGGGGUAGUGGCUUACCAAGGCUUUGACGGGUAGCCGGCCUGAGAGGGUGACCGGCCACCUUGCUACUGAGAUACGGCCCAGAGUCCUACGGGAGGCAGCGGUGGGGAAUAUUGUACAAUGGGCGGAAGCCUGAUGCAGCAACGCCGCGUGCGGGAUGACGGCCUUCGGGUUUUAAACCGCUUUCGCCUGUGACGAUGCGUGAGUGACGGUAAUGUGUAAAGAAGCACCGGCUAACUACGUG